Molecule: ribosomal RNA, 392 nt
Filed under: uncultured bacterium
Lineage: Bacteria
Description: bacterial SSU rRNA
Rfam family: Bacterial small subunit ribosomal RNA
Source: RNAcentral
AAUGAACGCUGGCGGCGCGCCUAAUACAUGCAAGUCGAGCGAGAAGACGUAGCAAUACGUUUGUAAAGCGGCGAACGGGUGAGGAAUACAUGGGUAACCUACCCUAGAGUGGGGAAUAACUAGCCGAAAGGUUAGCUAAUACCGCGUACGCUCCUUGGACUUCGGUUCAGGGAGGAAAGCGAUGCCGAGGGUAUCGCGCUCUUGGAUGGGCUCAUGUCCUAUCAGCUUGUUGGGAGGUAACGGCUCACCAAGGCUUCGACGGGUAGCUGGUCUGAGAGGACGAUCAGCCACACUGGCACUGCGACACGGGCCAGACUCCUACGGGAGGCAGCAGUAAGGAAUAUUGCGCAAUGGGCGAAAGCCUGACGCAGCGACGCCGCGUGGGGGAUGAA